This 74-nucleotide transfer RNA is filed under the name Armatimonadota bacterium. RNAcentral's name for it is "Armatimonadetes bacterium tRNA-Arg". It matches the Rfam family "tRNA". Rfam says of the family: Transfer RNA (tRNA) molecules are approximately 80 nucleotides in length. Their secondary structure includes four short double-helical elements and three loops (D, anti-codon, and T loops). The record is from RNAcentral. RNAcentral also lists the same sequence under 2 other names. Lineage: Bacteria; Bacillati; Armatimonadota.
GCGCCCGUAGCUCAGCAGGAUAGAGCAACAGCCUUCUAAGCUGUGGGUCACUGGUUCGAAUCCAGUCGGGCGCG